Molecule: transfer RNA, 75 nt
Filed under: Mus musculus (house mouse)
Lineage: Eukaryota; Metazoa; Chordata; Mammalia; Rodentia; Muridae
Description: tRNA-Ser
Source: RNAcentral
GGUUGGAGAGAUGGCUCAGUGGUUAAGAGCACUGACUGCUCUUGCAGAGGUCCUGAGUUCAAUUCCCAGCAACCA